This 253-nucleotide unclassified non-coding RNA is filed under the name uncultured Bacteroidales bacterium. RNAcentral's name for it is "contains 16S-23S intergenic spacer region". It matches the Rfam family "Bacterial small subunit ribosomal RNA", at positions 524 to 776 of the family's 1533-position model. Lineage: Bacteria; Pseudomonadati; Bacteroidota; Bacteroidia; Bacteroidales. The record is from RNAcentral.
UACGGAGGGUGCAAGCGUUAUCCGGAUUCAUUGGGUUUAAAGGGUGCGUAGGCGGGAUAGUAAGUCAGUGGUGAAAGCCUGCAGCUUAACUGUAGAAUUGCCAUUGAUACUGUUAUCCUUGAAUGCAGACGAGGUGAGUGGAAUGAGGCAUGUAGCGGUGAAAUGCUUAGAUAUGCCUCAGAACACCUAUUGCGAAGGCAGCUCACUAGACUGUUAUUGACGCUGAGGCACGAAAGCGUGGGGAGCGAACAGG